AGCGGUAGAGAGAAGCUUGCUUCUCUUGAGAGCGGCGGACGGGUGAGUAAUGCCUAGGAAUCUGCCUGGUAGUGGGGGAUAACGUUCGGAAACGGACGCUAAUACCGCAUACGUCCUACGGGAGAAAGCAGGGGACCUUCGGGCCUUGCGCUAUCAGAUGAGCCUAGGUCGGAUUAGCUAGUUGGUGAGGUAAUGGCUCACCAAGGCGACGAUCCGUAACUGGUCUGAGAGGAUGAUCAGUCACACUGGAACUGAGACACGGUCCAGACUCCUACGGGAGGCAGCAGUGGGGAAUAUUGGACAAUGGGCGAAAGCCUGAUCCAGCCAUGCCGCGUGUGUGAAGAAGGUCUUCGGAUUGUAAAGCACUUUAAGUUGGGAGGAAGGGUUGUAGAUUAAUACUCUGCAAUUUUGACGUUACCGACAGAAUAAGCACCGGCUAACUCUGUGCCAGCAGCCGCGGUAAUACAGAGGGUGCAAGCGUUAAUCGGAAUUACUGGGCGUAAAGCGCGCGUAGGUGGUUUGUUAAGUUGGAUGUGAAAUCCCCGGGCUCAACCUGGGAACUGCAUUCAAAACUGACUGACUAGAGUAUGGUAGAGGGUGGGUGGGAAUUUCCUGUGUAC
Molecule: ribosomal RNA, 620 nt
Filed under: uncultured Gammaproteobacteria bacterium
Lineage: Bacteria; Pseudomonadati; Pseudomonadota; Gammaproteobacteria
Description: bacterial SSU rRNA
Rfam family: Bacterial small subunit ribosomal RNA
Source: RNAcentral